RNAcentral lists this transfer RNA (68 nucleotides) under uncultured Aestuariivirga sp. It matches the Rfam family "tRNA". From Rfam's summary of the family: Transfer RNA (tRNA) molecules are approximately 80 nucleotides in length. The record is from RNAcentral. Lineage: Bacteria; Pseudomonadati; Pseudomonadota; Alphaproteobacteria; Hyphomicrobiales; Aestuariivirgaceae.
CGGAGGUAGCUCAAUGGUAGAGCCGCGGAUUUCCAUUCCGCUGACGCGGGUUCGAUUCCCGUCCUCCG